RNAcentral lists this ribosomal RNA (460 nucleotides) under uncultured bacterium. Its description in RNAcentral is "partial 16S ribosomal RNA". It matches the Rfam family "Bacterial small subunit ribosomal RNA", at positions 338 to 795 of the family's 1533-position model. The record is from RNAcentral.
CCUACGGGCGGCAGCAGUGAGGAAUAUUGGUCAAUGGCCGUAAGGCUGAACCAGCCAAGCCGCGUGAAGGAAGAAGGAUCUAUGGUUUGUAAACUUCUUUUAUAGGGGAAUAAAGGUAUCCACGUGUGGAUAUUUGCAUGUACCCUAUGAAUAAGCAUCGGCUAACUCCGUGCCAGCAGCCGCGGUAAUACGGAGGAUGCGAGCGUUAUCCGGAUUUAUUGGGUUUAAAGGGUGCGUAGGUUGUUUUUUAAGUCAGCGGUGAAAGUUUGUGGCUCAACCAUAAAAUUGCAGUUGAAACUGGAAGACUUGAGUGUGUUUGAGGUAGGCGGAAUGCGUGGUGUAGCGGUGAAAUGCAUAGAUAUCAGGCAGAACACCGAUUGCGAAGGCGGCUUACUAGGCUAUAACUGACACUGAGGCACGAAAGCGUGGGGAGCAAACAGGAUUAGAUACCCGGGUAGUC